ACUCUUCCUUUUUUCAGAAUCCUGUUUGAACCAGCUGCCUAGAAACAUGGGUGCAUACUUCCCCCGCUGAACCUUCAGGACUAACAGACCUUCAAAGAGUUCUGACUGCCACAGCAGCCAUAGCAGAAGCACUCGUCUCACGGCCCCAUCAGAUUCUAACGGAUCUGCAAAUUCUGUUAAAUACCCAUCAUCAAUCUUGGACAGGACACAAGACGACCUUCUGAGACUAGUCUCCACCAUUCAGCCAGUUUCUUUCAUUUACCUACUUUCAAGUAUUACUUUGCUCAUCAGGCCCUCUUUGGGCUUCCCCAAGUUUCUCACCAGAUCCCAUGAUAGCUUACUGCAAAUUCCCAAGACAAUUGGCUGCUGCACUCUGUUCAUCCCUCGCCAGCAUCCUGGUCUAUUGGGAGAAACCCUGUCCUUCCCCAUCUAAAACUCACAAGGCAGGUUGUUACCGUGUGGGUGCGGUAAAGCUCCAGGGCCGAAGGAGUUGGAAUGUAGGAAUGUGAAGGAAUAAUUCUUGAUCUUGAAGACCGAAGAAGCAUGAGUCAGGAAACACAGGAGAAGCUCUCUGUACCCAUCUUAAAAGUUAAGCCAGUGUAUCAGGUAAUUUAUCAAUGUUUUCUGCAGAAUGAACAGCAGUUUCUGUGGACUAGAAGAUCCCAAGACAAGCUAUGUUAAAACAGAAAAAUGAAGUUAUCUAUGAGUUCUUCAAAUUGUAAACCAAGAUUUAGCUAUGAAGCAGACAUGUCUCAAAUACGACUAGUUUACACUGGGAUUUGAGUUACGUAAACAUCAGUUUGCUAUGGACUGUGGUACAAACUAAAAUCUAGAAGAAUUAAGGAAGCAAAAAGGAGUUUAAACUUUAUACUUGAUGAAUAGCAGUGAAUCAGAAUAGAUCAAAGUAUUCUCCAAACCUCUUCAAAAUGACAAUAGUGAAGAAGGAUGUUAAAAAAACUAAACAUAAUUCUCAUGCUUUCAAUAGUGCUUUUGCCUUUCAUCCAGAAGCCACUGAAAGCACUUUAUAGAACAUUAGAACAAUUUCAAACAAUUCAUAUACUAGGACACCCAGUCACACUGCCAACACCAGUGAAGUGCAGGCAUUUGCGCCAUGAUAACUGAACACAGCAUGCAAUGAAGCUUAAUGGAAAAAAAUGGAAGAGGGUGCCAAGUGUCAUGUGCUCCCUAGAUUGUGUCAGAGGAUCUGACUCCUGAUGUCCAUGGGACAUUUCAGAGAUUAGAGUUUCCAAGAAUGCAAUUUAGGUAAGACCUUAGAAGAAGUAGAAGGUCAUGUGACAUAGCAAUACACAUGAUAAGUAAUUCUACUUUAGCCAAAAUGUAGCAAGGAAGUUUAGAUAUAAUACCACAGGAACAGUCAAAUGUAUUAUGGAACUAAAUUGUUCGUAAGACUGAAAUUGAGAUCCCUUCACCUUUGCAUAACUUGCUUGAAAAUUGUUUGAAGUUAGAAGUUUAGGACAGUUUCUACCCAAGGAUUACAAUACUGGCAUUUUUUAUAAAAAUAUACCUAGUAGAUAAAUUGCACAGAAAUCACCAUCAUGCUUAGCUGACUAGUUGGCAGGGGACAGCAGACAUGUACUGCCAAAAGAGAUUUCACAGGACAAGCAAUGGACCCCCAACAGCAAGCUCUGCUAAACAGAGUUGAGAAGACUUGGCAGCAGGGUGUGAAGGUGUCUGUCUAUAAGAAGCAGUCUAAAAAUUGCUACAAGCACUGAAUUAUUAAAAAAAAAAAAAAAAAAAGUGUUCAGUGGAAAGAAUUAUGAACUUGGAAAAUACCAGAAGGCAUAGAACAUUCUGAAGAACAUGGUGCACUUUAAAUAAUUAAAAUCAGGCAAGAAGGCAAUGACAGGCAAAUAAAAAACCCCCAUCACAGCAGUAACAGUACCUGUGUUGUUUUCCUGCACCUUGUCUUAUGUUAUGCAUGUGGUAUCAGCUUACGAAAGGUUCCCUCAACUUGUCAGUAUCAAAUAAAUAAUCAGAAGAGCUAUUAUAAUCUGA
Molecule: long non-coding RNA, 2016 nt
Organism: Alligator mississippiensis (American alligator)
Lineage: Eukaryota; Metazoa; Chordata; Crocodylia; Alligatoridae
Exons: 2
Source: RefSeq, a predicted model, not a curated record